GUUGUCCCCCUGUGUUAUAAGUCCACCCCCUGACUUUGAGUCGGAGGUAGUGUGUUGUCCCCCUAGCCUGUGUUAUAAGUCCACUCCCUGACUUUGAGUCGGAGGUAGUGUGUUGUCCCCCUAGCCUGUGUUAUAAGUCCACUCCCUGACUUCGA
Long non-coding RNA from Pecten maximus, 155 nucleotides. RefSeq lists it as uncharacterized. The record is from RefSeq and is a predicted model, not a curated record. The transcript is spliced from 3 exons. NCBI's taxonomy places the organism in Eukaryota, Metazoa, Mollusca, Bivalvia, Pectinida, Pectinidae.